RNAcentral lists this ribosomal RNA (164 nucleotides) under uncultured Pseudomonas sp. RNAcentral's name for it is "partial 16S ribosomal RNA". It matches the Rfam family "Bacterial small subunit ribosomal RNA", at positions 374 to 529 of the family's 1533-position model. The record is from RNAcentral. Lineage: Bacteria; Pseudomonadati; Pseudomonadota; Gammaproteobacteria; Pseudomonadales; Pseudomonadaceae.
GGGCGAGCCUGGAUCCAGCCAUGCCGCGUGUGUGANGANGGUCUUCGGAUUGUAAAGCACUUUAAGUUGGGAGGAAGGGCAGUANGUUAAUACCUUGCUGUUUUGACGUUACCGACAGAAUAAGCACCGGCUAACUUCGCUGCCAGCAGCCGCGGUAAUACGAA